Molecule: non-coding RNA, 1072 nt
Organism: Pelobates cultripes (western spadefoot toad)
Lineage: Eukaryota; Metazoa; Chordata; Amphibia; Anura; Pelobatidae
Source: the annotation of a GenBank genome assembly
GCCAGAUUAGCCAAAUUGUCAGUUUUCCUUGAUUGUGCAAUAUUUCAGUGGAUUUUGUGUUUGGUGAGGGAUGAAAUGCACAGUAAUCUUAGAUAUUAUUUAUUACGUAAGGUCCAUGUUAGGGUCAACGUUUGGGUAUUGUUUCCUGUCUGAUCCUCUGUAAUUGCUCACAAUUCUCCUUUUCCAUAGAUCGCUUGAAUUUUAAUAUAUUCUCUGUUUUUUCCUUUCUUUUUAGUACAAUUAUGGAUUUGUAGUUGAGCGAAGUGCUGCAGUACGUUAGGUGAAUUCAUGUCCUACUCACUGAUGGAUUCCUGCGGGAAAUGAAGUAGUUGAUCUCUGUAAAGACUUCUUUAUCUGGAUGAUUUCUUUAAACGAGGAACACUGACCCAUUCAGACAUUCUCCAUGUAACCCAAACGUGACCUUUAGUUUAUACAGGUUAUAAUGCUAAAGGGACGCAGGAAGGGUGCUCAUUGGUGGCCUGAUUGGGUUCUUCUGCUUGUUGAAUAUAUUUGUUUUCCUAUGACACUAAGCUGACGUUUUAUGCAGAUUGAUGUUUUUCUUCAGUUGAAGGACCAAAAAACAUUAAUGCGUCAUAUUUUAUUAGCUAUUGUAAUAGCCCUGUGCCUUACAAGUCACAUAUUUCUUACCUAUUGCUAGCGAGAAUUAUCUAUAAAUAUUAAUAAUUAAUGUGAGCUGUGCCAUAUACAAUUGUGUGAUUUUAAAAUUCGAUUUUCGUCUUUUAUCUUUUUAAUUUAUUCGGAUCAGAGUCUCAAGCUGUACCUCCAUCCCCACAAGGAUUUUUUCUUAAGCUUUUUAAAAGUUAAUGAAAUAAUCGUAAUAAUUAAUAUACGACAAAAUGUGUACAGCUUGUUUAUAAAGGUAAGGGCUUGCCCUCAGCAUUCAGAGUCCUGGAAUCCGCAAUGAAUGUCUACUGAAGGGGCUUUUUCAUUCAGUGUCUCAGAUCUUAUAAACGGUUCCCACCAGCCUCCUCUGCCUCCAUUUCGUCCACUGAAGAGUGAUCUUUUAUGUUCAUCAAUAAAGGUUACUUUUUGAGAAGGUCUCGCUUCUGUU